RNAcentral lists this long non-coding RNA (241 nucleotides) under Solanum tuberosum (potato). RNAcentral's name for it is "long non-coding RNA (STUB_LNC009948)". Lineage: Eukaryota; Viridiplantae; Streptophyta; Magnoliopsida; Solanales; Solanaceae. The record is from RNAcentral.
CUCAUUCUCUUUCUUUUGUGUUGAUUCCUCCAUUAUCCCUUUUUGCUCCCAAAACAAGUUAUUGAUGGAAAGUAUUAUACCAAGUAAGGAUAUUGAUUUCUUUGCAUUAUUUCAUCAAGUUCAUCAGGAUAAACAAUACUUGUUAUAGCAAUAGCUACACUACCCGAGUUUCAUUAUUGAUAGACAUUGUUUAUGUGGAAAUUUAUAAAAAGAAGGAACAAAAGGUUGCAGCACAUAUCCC